RNAcentral lists this ribosomal RNA (501 nucleotides) under uncultured bacterium. Its description in RNAcentral is "partial 16S ribosomal RNA". It matches the Rfam family "Bacterial small subunit ribosomal RNA", at positions 30 to 523 of the family's 1533-position model. The record is from RNAcentral.
AUUGAACGCUGGCGGCAGGCUUAACACAUGCAAGUCGAGCGGAGAGAGGUAGCUUGCUACUGAUCUUAGCGGCGGACGGGUGAGUAAUGCUUAGGAAUCUGCCUAUUAGUGGGGGACAACAUUUCGAAAGGAAUGCUAAUACCGCAUACGUCCUACGGGAGAAAGCAGGGGAUCUUCGGACCUUGCGCUAAUAGAUGAGCCUAAGUCGGAUUAGCUAGUUGGUGGGGUAAAGGCCUACCAAGGCGACGAUCUGUAGCGGGUCUGAGAGGAUGAUCCGCCACACUGGGACUGAGAGCCGGCCCAGACUCCUCCGGGAGGCAGCAGUGGGGAAUAGUGGACAAUGGGCGCAAGCCUGAUCCAGCCAUGCCGCGUGUGUGAAGAAGGCCUUAUGGUUGUAAAGCACUUUAAGCGAGGAGGAGGCUACUUUAGUUAAUACCUAGAGAUAGUGGACGUUACUCGCAGAAUAAGCACCGGCUAACUCUGUGCCAGCCGCCGCCGUAA